GACGAACGCUGGCGGCGCGCCUAACACAUGCAAGUCGAACGAGCAAAGAGGAGCUUGCUUCUCUGAGCGAGUGGCGAACGGGUGAGUAACGCGUGAGGAACCUGCCUCAAAGAGGGGGACAACAGUUGGAAACGACUGCUAAUACCGCAUAAGCCCACGGGUCGGCAUCGACCAGAGGGAAAAGGAGCAAUCCGCUUUGAGAUGGCCUCGCGUCCGAUUAGCUAGUUGGUGAGGUAAUGGCCCACCAAGGCGACGAUCGGUAGCCGGACUGAGAGGUUGAACGGCCACAUUGGGACUGAGACACGGCCCAGACUCCUACGGGAGGCAGCAGUGGGGAAUAUUGCACAAUGGGGGAAACCCUGAUGCAGCGACGCCGCGUGGAGGAAGAAGGUCUUCGGAUUGUAAACUCCUGUUGUUGAGGAAGAUAAUGACGGUACCCAACAAGGAAGUGACGGCUAACUACGUGCCAGCAGCCGCGGUAAAACGUAGGUCACAAGCGUUGUCCGGAAUUACUGGGUGUAAAGGGAGCGCAGGCGGGAAGACAAGUUGGAAGUGAAAUCCAUGGGCUCAACCCAUGAACUGCUUUCAAAACUGUUUUUCUUGAGUAGUGCAGAGGUAGGCGGAAUUCCCGGUGUAGCGGUGGAAUGCGUAGAUAUCGGGAGGAACACCAGUGGCGAAGGCGGCCUACUGGGCACCAACUGACGCUGAGGCUCGAAAGUGUGGGUAGCAAACAGGAUUAGAUACCCUGGUAGUCCACACCGUAAACGAUGAUUACUAGGUGUUGGAGGAUUGACCCCUUCAGUGCCGCAGUUAACACAAUAAGUAAUCCACCUGGGGAGUACGACCGCAAGGUUGAAACUCAAAGGAAUUGACGGGGGCCCGCACAAGCAGUGGAGUAUGUGGUUUAAUUCGACGCAACGCGAAGAACCUUACCAAGUCUUGACAUCCUGCGACGGACAUAGAAAUAUGUCUUUCCUUCGGGACGCAGAGACAGGUGGUGCAUGGUUGUCGUCAGCUCGUGUCGUGAGAUGUUGGGUUAAGUCCCGCAACGAGCGCAACCCUUAUGGUCAGUUACUACGCAAGAGGACUCUGGCCAGACUGCCGUUGACAAAACGGAGGAAGGUGGGGAUGACGUCAAAUCAUCAUGCCCUUUAUGACUUGGGCUACACACGUACUACAAUGGCGUUAAACAAAGAGAAGCAAGACCGCGAGGUGGAGCAAAACUCAGAAACAACGUCCCAGUUCGGACUGCAGGCUGCAACUCGCCUGCACGAAGUCGGAAUUGCUAGUAAUCGUGGAUCAGCAUGCCACGGUGAAUACGUUCCCGGGCCU
RNAcentral lists this ribosomal RNA (1332 nucleotides) under uncultured bacterium. Its description in RNAcentral is "bacterial SSU rRNA". It matches the Rfam family "Bacterial small subunit ribosomal RNA", at positions 28 to 1381 of the family's 1533-position model. The record is from RNAcentral.